Molecule: long non-coding RNA, 494 nt
Filed under: Cyanistes caeruleus (blue tit)
Lineage: Eukaryota; Metazoa; Chordata; Aves; Passeriformes; Paridae
Description: lncRNA (ENSCCEG00000005486.1)
Source: RNAcentral
AGUGAUUGAAAGGUGUGGAACAGCAUUCUGAUGCUACAUGAAGCUAAGUGCAGGAUAGGUGACACUUUCCUAUGAGGACAGCUUGUGAACUGAUGUUUUACUCUCUUUUCUUCAGAAUUUAAGAAGGGCAUCACAGUGGCCUCCUUCCUCAGAACAAGAACACUUGAGCAGCAGAGCACUGCAAUCUUCCACCCAGAGUUGACAGGCAUGAUGACCUCAGAGCAGAGAAGAAAUCACAGCAUUGCACCUCAGAUGGGGACAUUCCACACCUCUUGGCAUAUGUUUGUUCUGUGCUCUGCUGUACAGAAUCCAAAGUACAGACAGUGCUUGUACUGAAGAGCUUGCAUGUCCAAACAAGGGCCAGACAGAUUGCAGUGAGUAACCCAGAGUCAGUCACCAGAUCUGCAGAACUCUUCAUCUCUUUCAUACAUUACUGUAAUUUUGUUCAAAAACUAAAGAGCUGCUGUCUCUUCAAAAAAAGCAAUGGUAAAUAG